CUUAAUCCAUCCCACUUGCAGUUGUUACUGUUUUCCAAGCCGUAGAGUCAUGUACGCCACUGUCUGAAGCCGUCUAGGGUGGCCUUUGAGGAAAAAAAUCUAUCCAAGGUCAACUAUACAAGGUCGCGUUAAUUUUUGCGUGCUAGCCUCUUCAUCCCGUUAACACGUCGCGGGCGACUUCACAAAUAUGGACUUAAUCCGUAAUUCCCGAGAAGCUGACUGCUCUCAUUUUCAAACAGGUGAUAUAUGCCUAGAAGUCGGUAGCAAGUAACAUAGUCGUCUGUUUGCAAAAGCUCUGUUUGGAGCAUCGGCACAUACAAAUAGCGACUAUCGUUGUUCGCGUUUAAGAAAUAUAAAAAACUAACUGUAUCUCACGCUCAAGUUUAGCUGUUGUCAUUAUAGGAAAUUUUAAGAGAGAGAGAGAGAGAAACUGUUGUGCGGCAGCAGAAUUGUCCUGUCGACUCGGAAAAAUUGGAAGCGCUAUGCCGAACUUCUGUCUAGUGGUACUUUGAAGGUUUAUGGAGAUAAAUAAAUCAUACAGCCCUGAAUUGACGCCUCUGUAUUUCAGUAAAAAUUACAUUGUUAGCUACAGUGCACGAAGGAACCGAGCACUGGUUUGCCUAAACACUGUCAAUGGAAUUAGAAGAAGAAGAAGCAGAAGAAAAUCGAUGGUUCUGACUGCGUGGGCACCCCUACGUUUGAACGGACCUCCCAACGCGGAUCGUCGUUAUCGUCGUCAGCUAAGUGGACUAGGCUGCUUGAUCUAGUUUAUUUGGCAAACAAGCACCUCUCGAACCCAACGAUGACGACCGUAAGGACCCGCUAUACCAAGUCGUUUCUCAGCGACACCGUUCGGACGUAAACGAGUGAAGUUUGUGCUCAGUUAGCGACAAGCAAGCAGCUAGUUAACUCAUUGGAACUAUAAUUGUUCAUUUGAAACAGUAACUAGUGACUUUCAAUUCUACGGUACGCGUCUUCGAAUGUUUCAUCUACAAAUUGCAGUCUCUAGUGUUAGCAGCAGCAGCGGCGGCGGUAGCGGUAGAAAAUGGACUUACACAGGACAGAACGGGUAACUGGGCAGACCCCAUUUCCAACACCGUCGUCAUCUGAUGCGAGAAGUGGCAAAAAAAGUUUGCUCUAACAGCAGGGCUACCGCUCUGUCAGUAACAUAAAUUGUUUUAUCGCCUCUGCCGUCGACAAUGGUCACUGCUAUGCUCACAAUCACGAUUUUAAACAUUUCAUUGAUAUAUGUGAUCAGGGAAGGCUUCUCGAAUACUGACGGCUGACGACCCUCAAACGACGUUCCCCACUUCGCAUGUUGGUUCAGUAGCUUGAAGUAUAUUUAGCUUCUUCAGAUACAGUCAUUGAAAAAUGUCAUGUUUCGUCUCAUAAAGUUAUCACAGAGUUUCGCGCGAAGCCCUGUAAUAUUAGAUUGCCGCGUGAAAUGAGGCAAUACAUCAAUCUGUUAUAAAGUAUUAAACUGAGUUAGAGGUGAUCUCAUAGGUC
RNAcentral lists this long non-coding RNA (1506 nucleotides) under Varroa destructor (honeybee mite). RNAcentral describes it as "uncharacterized LOC111251816, transcript variant X2". The record is from RNAcentral. Lineage: Eukaryota; Metazoa; Arthropoda; Arachnida; Mesostigmata; Varroidae.